Molecule: ribosomal RNA, 600 nt
Filed under: uncultured bacterium
Lineage: Bacteria
Description: bacterial SSU rRNA
Rfam family: Bacterial small subunit ribosomal RNA
Source: RNAcentral
CUUAAAUGAAUUGACGGGGGCCCGCACAAGCGGUGGAGCAUGUGGUUUAAUUCGAAGCAACGCGAAGAACCUUACCAGGUCUUGGCAUACUCGUGCUAUUCCUAGAGAUAGGAAGUUCCUUCGGGACACGGGAUACAGGUGGUGCAUGGUUGUCGUCAGCUCGUGUCGUGAGAUGUUGGGUUAAGUCCCGCAACGAGCGCAACCCUUAUUGUUAGUUGCCAUCAUUAAGUUGGGCACUCUAGCGAGACUGCCGGUAAUAAACCGGAGGAAGGUGGGGAUGACGUCAAAUCAUCAUGCCCCUUAUGACCUGGGCUACACACGUGCUACAAUGGUUGGUACAACGAGUCGCAAGACAGUGAUGUCAAGCUAAUCUCUUAAAGCCAAUCUCGGUUCGGAUUGUAGGCUGCAACUCGCCUACAUGAAGUCGGAAUCGCUAGUAAUCGCGGAUCAGCACGCCGCGGUGAAUACGUUCCCGGGCCUUGUACACACCGCCCGUCACACCACGAGAGUUUGUAAUACCCAAAGCCGGUGAGCUAACCUUUUAGGAGGCAGCCGUCUAAGGUAGGAUAGAUGAUUGGGGUGAAGUCGUAACAAGGUAGC